ACGAAAAAUAACGAUACGGGACUCAUCCGAGGCCCCGUAAUCGGAAUGAGUACACUCUAAACCCUUUAACGAGGAUCAAUUGGAGGGCAAGUCUGGUGCCAGCAGCCGCGGUAAUUCCAGCUCCAAUAGCGUAUAUUAAAGUUGUUGCGGUUAAAAAGCUCGUAGUCGAAUUUGUGUCCCGCGCCGCCGGUUCAUCGCUCGCGGUGUCAACUGGCGUGUCCGCGGGACGUCCUGCCGGUGGGCUUAGCCCGUUCGGGCGGCCCAAUCUCAAUCCCACCGCGGUGCUCUUCACUGAGUGUCGAGGUGGGCCGGCACGUUUACUUUGAACAAAUUAGAGUGCUUAAAGCAGGCUAAAACAUCGCCUGAAUACUGUGUGCAUGGAAUAAUGGAAUAGGACCUCGGUUCUAUUUUGUUGGUUUUCGGAACCCCGAGGUAAUGAUUAAUAGGAACGGAUGGGGGCAUUCGUAUUGCGACGUUAGAGGUGAAAUUCUUGGAUCGUCGCAAGACGGACAGAAGCGAAAGCAUUUGCCAAAAACGCUUUCAUUGAUCAAGAACGAAAGUUAGAGGUGCGAAGGCGAUCAGAUACCGCCCUAGUUCUAACCAUAAACGAUGCCAGCUAGCGAUCCGCCGACGUUCCUCCGAUGACUCGGCGGGCAGCUUCCGGGAAACCAAAGCUUUUGGGUUCCGGGGGAAGUAUGGUUGCAAAGCUGAAACUUAAAGGAAUUGACGGAAGGGCACCACCAGGAGUGGAGCCUGCGGCUUAAUUUGACUCAACACGGGAAACCUCACCAGGCCCGGACACCGGAAGGAUUGACAGAUUGAGAGC
This 826-nucleotide ribosomal RNA is filed under the name Uroxys sp. 3 ST-2016. RNAcentral describes it as "SSU rRNA". It matches the Rfam family "Eukaryotic small subunit ribosomal RNA", at positions 470 to 1255 of the family's 1831-position model. RNAcentral also lists the same sequence under 1 other name. The record is from RNAcentral. Lineage: Eukaryota; Metazoa; Arthropoda; Insecta; Coleoptera; Scarabaeidae.